This 68-nucleotide transfer RNA is filed under the name uncultured Eubacterium sp. It matches the Rfam family "tRNA". From Rfam's summary of the family: Transfer RNA (tRNA) molecules are approximately 80 nucleotides in length. Their secondary structure includes four short double-helical elements and three loops (D, anti-codon, and T loops). The record is from RNAcentral. Lineage: Bacteria; Bacillati; Bacillota; Clostridia; Eubacteriales; Eubacteriaceae. RNAcentral also lists the same sequence under 3 other names.
UGAUAUGGCUCAGUUGGUAGAGCAGCGCAUUCGUAAUGCGCAGGUCGUCGGUUCGAGUCCGACUAUCA